RNAcentral lists this ribosomal RNA (494 nucleotides) under uncultured bacterium. RNAcentral describes it as "bacterial SSU rRNA". It matches the Rfam family "Bacterial small subunit ribosomal RNA", at positions 28 to 524 of the family's 1533-position model. The record is from RNAcentral.
GAUGAACGCUGGCGGCGUGCCUAACACAUGCAAGUCGAGCGAGAACCGCUGGAAUGACACUUCGGUAGAAUGAAAGCGGGGAAAGCGGCGGACGGGUGAGUAACGCGUAGGUAACCUGCCCCAUACACAGGGAUAGCCUAGGGAAACCUGGAUUAAUACCUGAUGAAGCAACUGGUCGCAUGACCGGCUGCCAAAGAUUUAUCGGUAUGGGAUGGACCUGCGUCUGAUUAGUGAGUUGGUGGGGUAAUGGCCUACCAAAGCGACGAUCAGUAGCCGACCUGAGAGGGUGAUCGGCCACAUUGGAACUGAGACACGGUCCAAACUCCUGCGGGAGGCAGCAGUGGGGAUAUUGCACAAUGGGCGGAAGCCUGAUGCAGCAACGCCGCGUGAGCGAAGAAGGUCUUCGGAUCGUAAAGCUCUGUCCUGGGGAAGAACGAAAUGACGGUACCCCGGGAGGAAGCCCCGGCUAACUACGUGCCAGCAGCCGCGGUAAA